RNAcentral lists this ribosomal RNA (259 nucleotides) under uncultured prokaryote. Its description in RNAcentral is "partial 16S ribosomal RNA". It matches the Rfam family "Bacterial small subunit ribosomal RNA", at positions 524 to 782 of the family's 1533-position model. The record is from RNAcentral.
UAUGUAGGGUGCGAGCGUUGUCCGGAAUUACUGGGCGUAAAGCGCACGCAGGCUGACUUAUAAGUCGGUAGUCUAAUGCGGAGGCUCAACUUCCGUUUAUCUAUCGAUACUGUAAGACUAGAGUAUGUGAGAGGGAAGUGGAAUUCCCGGUGUAGCGGUGAAAUGCGUAGAUAUAUGGAGGAACACCAGUGGCGAAGGCGACUCUCUGGUCUGUAACUGACGCUGAGGCUCGAAAGCGUGGGGAGCAAACAGGAUUAGA